AGGUAAGCUACUAAGAGCGAAUGGUGGAUGCCUUGACUGGUAAAGGCGAUGAAGGACGUACUAGACUGCGAUAAGCUACGGGGAGCUGUCAAGAAGCUUUGAUCCGUAGAUUUCCGAAUGGGGCAACCCAAUGUAUAGAGAUAUACAUUACCUAUAUAGGAGCGAACGAGGGGAAUUGAAACAUCUUAGUACCCUCAGGAAAAGAAAUCAAUAGAGAUUGCGUCAGUAGCGGCGAGCGAAAGCGUAAGAGGGCAAACCCAGUGCUUGCACUGGGGGUUGUAGGACUGCAAUGUGCAAGAGGUGAGUUUAGCAGAACAUUCUGGAAAGUAUAGCCAUAGAGGGUGAUAGUCCCGUAUGCGAAAAACAAACCUUAGCUAGCAGUAUCCUGAGUAGGGCGGGACACGAGAAAUCCUGUCUGAAGCUGGGUCGACCACGAUCCAACCCUAAAUACUAAUACCAGAUCGAUAGUGCACAAGUACCGUGAGGGAAAGGUGAAAAGAACUGAGGUGAUCAGAGUGAAAUAGAACCUGAAACCAUUUGCUUACAAUCAUUCAGAGCACUAUGUAGCAAUACAG
RNAcentral lists this ribosomal RNA (575 nucleotides) under Campylobacter coli. RNAcentral's name for it is "partial 23S ribosomal RNA". It matches the Rfam family "Bacterial large subunit ribosomal RNA", at positions 1 to 591 of the family's 2925-position model. RNAcentral also lists the same sequence under 1 other name. Lineage: Bacteria; Pseudomonadati; Campylobacterota; Epsilonproteobacteria; Campylobacterales; Campylobacteraceae. The record is from RNAcentral.